ACGAUAAUAGCAAUCCCGGUGAAAACCGGCGACGCAAAGCUAUAGGGCCUUACCCCUGGGAACAGGGCUGGCAGCCAGUUACCGA
RNAcentral lists this non-coding RNA (85 nucleotides) under human gut metagenome. Its description in RNAcentral is "Cyclic di-GMP-I riboswitch". It matches the Rfam family "c-di-GMP-I riboswitch aptamer". Rfam says of the family: GEMM was predicted in a large-scale screen for bacterial structured RNA regulatory elements. Genes associated with GEMM are involved in a diverse array of functions, including chemotaxis regulation, signal transduction, secretion and chitin. The record is from RNAcentral.